CUUGCUCUGACCUAGCAUACUUGUAUACAAAUUGAAAUGCAAAUAUCUAGGUCUGAGCGAGGCUAGACCUAGUCAUGCUAAUCGAAUGAUAGCCUCGGCCAAUGAAAAUCUCUUCACUCCAUGUUUUCAUGAUGCUGUCAGCCAGGCUCCUGUCUUAAGGGCUGGCACUCAACACGUAGUUUCAUGUCCCAUGAUCAAGCUGUAGGACUACAAUAUGACUAGACCUAAGAUGCUAGGCGAUAUUGAAGAUAUCUAUAUUAUUGGAUUCUAAAUUCUGAAAUGCUUGGAAAUUUACAAGUAUGCAUCGGCAACCAAUGCUGAAGACUAGACUUCAGAGGUGAAACAGUUAAGAAGCAAAAUGAAAUCAGUUCUUCCUGAUGGAUGGGCGGGUAUUGCUGCAAUACUGCACAUUGUGCAAGGAUGUCGACAUCAGUGUUCUUCAAUUGUAGAUCAGAGGUGAAAUUGAAAAGAGAAUAACGUAGAUGCCUAAUACAUUCUUUGAUUGGCCGUACCAUCUGUUGUGGACUAUAAUUUCACCUACUCAAGACUCAUCAGCACAUCUUGGAUCCGCAAACCAAAGAAAUACCAUUAGGCCUGUUAUAAUGUUGAAGUGUAUAAAUUGUAUAUAAUAUAUAUAACUUGUUAACUAAUUAUUAGUAUUAUUGCAUCAUUAUUGUUUGACGUUGUAACGGUCGAAAAUAACAUGCCGCUAUAACUAGGUGGCACUGGUUAGUUACUUUACAUAAAUCCAGCUGGCCGAUUAUGAUCAUAUUUAGUAGUUUGACAAACAUGGCAUGACAACACAAAACUGUUAAUGUCCUUUCUCAUACCAGGCCAAUAAACAUGUCUGGAUAUUUUGUCUAUUGUUUUUCGGACACCUAGAUGACCAGCCGUAGGAUGAUCAUAGAAUUUGAUUAACAUCGAAAAGUCUCAAUGUUUUGGGAAUACCUGGUCUGAAUUCACCGUUGCUAUCAACCCCUUUUUGUGUAAUAAAGAACAUUAUCAUUCAA
This 1010-nucleotide long non-coding RNA is filed under the name Limulus polyphemus (Atlantic horseshoe crab). RNAcentral describes it as "uncharacterized LOC111085975, transcript variant X3". The record is from RNAcentral. Lineage: Eukaryota; Metazoa; Arthropoda; Merostomata; Xiphosura; Limulidae.